UAUACCGACAUACUGCCAUUGCGGCGCCA
Molecule: small RNA, 29 nt
Filed under: Bombyx mori (domestic silkworm)
Lineage: Eukaryota; Metazoa; Arthropoda; Insecta; Lepidoptera; Bombycidae
Description: ovarian small RNA-23316
Source: RNAcentral